RNAcentral lists this ribosomal RNA (473 nucleotides) under uncultured bacterium. RNAcentral's name for it is "bacterial SSU rRNA". It matches the Rfam family "Bacterial small subunit ribosomal RNA", at positions 28 to 496 of the family's 1533-position model. The record is from RNAcentral.
GAUGAACGCUAGCGGCGGGCUUAACACAUGCAAGUCGAGGGGCAGCACGGGUAGCAAUACCUGGUGGCGACCGGCGCAAGGGUGCGUAACGCGUGAGCAACAUGCCCUAUACAGGGGGAUAAUCCAGGGAAACUUGGUCUAAUAUCCCAUAGUAUUUAGAGGAGGCAUCUUCUAUAAAUUAAAGCUUCGGUGGUAUAGGAUUGGCUCGCGUGACAUUAGCUAGAUGGUGAGGUAACGGCUCACCAUGGCAAUGAUGUCUAGGGGUUCUGAGAGGAAGGCCCCCCACACUGGGACUGAGACACGGCCCAGACUCCUACGGGAGGCAGCAGUGAGGAAUAUUGGACAAUGGAUGGAAAUCUGAUCCAGCCAUGCCGCGUGCAGGAAGACAGCCCUAUGGGUUGUAAACUGCUUUUAUAUGGGAGCAAUAAGGUCUACGUGUAGACUGAUGAGAGUACCAUAUGAAUAAGCAUCGG